Molecule: long non-coding RNA, 1524 nt
Organism: Apodemus sylvaticus (European woodmouse)
Lineage: Eukaryota; Metazoa; Chordata; Mammalia; Rodentia; Muridae
Exons: 13
Source: RefSeq, a predicted model, not a curated record
AGAAAAUGCAAUGGAAAACAUGUGGAGCUGUGCAUGGUGGUGCACACCUUUAAUCCCAGCACUCAGGAGGCAGAAGAAGGUGGAUCUCAGCACAUUUUGUGCCCUCCCCGCCUCCAAAUUGCCUCAGUUACAAAUCAGAAGGCAGGCUUGGUGACCAGGACUGGCAAGCACAUUUUAAAGUCCCAUGCUGUGGAGUUGAUCCAUCUCAUCUUGAGUCAGAAGAGGCAGAAGUGGAUGUGAGAGAAAGAGACAUACAGAGAGACAGAGAGCCAAAGAGGGCAAGAGACUUGACUUUAAGAGACUCCUGUACUGACAACUCCAUGCAGUUCGGAACCAGAACGACUGCGGCUGGACCAGGGUUCAUGGGGACAUGGCAAAACGCUGAUACUAACCUCUUAUUCAGAAUGUCCCAACAAGCCUGUCACCCUGGCUACUAAAGAAUCCUCAGACUUCAGUGGUUGGCUUACCAACUGCAGUCUUCAGUUUGGUAUUUAGUGCCAAGAAGGAAAGUGAUCAUUUCACAUCCAUUGAUUGGUUCUCGAUUCCAGGCUGCACUGUAAAUAACUCAACAAAAAUCCAGUGGGAGGCUUUUCAGCAGGUUUAAUAGAUGACAAUGAUCUCUAUUGUUGGGAAGACCUUAUUAUUGGUCCUCCAGAUACACUUUAGUGCCCCUGGAGGCCUGAAGAAGGCACUGGAUCCCUGAAAUUGGAGGACCAGGCAGCUGUGAGCUGCCACAUGCAGAUGCUGAGAACUGAGCCUUUGCAAGAGUGUGAAGGUGGUGUUUUUAAGGCUUAUCUCAUUUUCCCAAAAGAUUAUCCCCUCCGGCCUCCUAAAAUGAAAUUCAUUACAGAUAUUUGGCCCCCAAAUGGCAAGCUUCCUCUGAUUUGGAACAAAAUAAAAACAGGCUGGUCUUCCCUUGUACCUGACACAGGCAAAUUGAACUGGCCCAGACAGCAGAGCUCUGUAAGACAUGUUGAUAUUGAUGGCUUCUUUGUCUCAGGGGCUAUAAGAAAUAUAACAGAUCUCAAAGGAAAAACAGUGGCUCUGUCAGCAACCAUGGCACAGGAAGGUCACCUUUUCAUCCUGGUGCUAACAUCCAGCUGGAGUGGCAGUAUUACCAAAAUAAAAUCCUGAAAGGAGAAGCAGAGAUCAUGCUGACCCAGAAAGUGGAGAUCUGAUUGCUGAGAUUAAAGGCUUGAUCCACCAUGAUUAUCUGUAAUAAAGUGAGGUGUUAGAGCCUGUGGCCUAGUGACGUGAACAUCGGGCCUGGAAGCAAGGUCAGAGUCAAAGUCUUUUUGAUAAAGAACCAGGAAUACAUACCAGCACAUCUGGGCUGACUGUCCUUCUUCCCAAGGGAUAGAUCAAUCUCAGAGAAGAUGGUCCUUCCUCUUGAUCUACAGGGUACUCUCUAGAUCAGUAGAGCCUCCUUACAAGUCACCACAUGUAAAUUGGAUUUACAUCCCUAUCAUCUAGAGGAUAGCAAGCACAGAGAACAGCAAAGACAAAAAAGAAAGGACAAAGAAC